CAGUCGCCACGGUAAUACGUAGGGUGCAAGCGUUAAUCGGAAUUACUGGGCGUAAAGCGUGCGCAGGCGGUUAUGCAAGACAGAGGUGAAAUCCCCGGGCUCAACCUGGGAACUGCCUUUGUGACUGCAUAGCUAGAGUGCGGCAGAGGGGGAUGGAAUUCCGCGUGUAGCAGUGAAAUGCGUAGAUAUGCGGAGGAACACCGAUGGCGAAGGCAAUCCCCUGGGCCAAUACUGACGCUCAUGCACGAAAGCGUGGGGAGCAAACAGGAUUAGAUACCCGCGUAGUCCCUGUCUCUUAUAC
This 301-nucleotide ribosomal RNA is filed under the name uncultured bacterium. RNAcentral describes it as "partial 16S ribosomal RNA". It matches the Rfam family "Bacterial small subunit ribosomal RNA", at positions 509 to 807 of the family's 1533-position model. The record is from RNAcentral.